Long non-coding RNA from Gastrolobium bilobum, 821 nucleotides. RefSeq lists it as uncharacterized. The transcript has 3 exons. NCBI's taxonomy places the organism in Eukaryota, Viridiplantae, Streptophyta, Magnoliopsida, Fabales, Fabaceae. The record is from RefSeq and is a predicted model, not a curated record.
AUUAUUGAGGGUUGACACAUCAUAAGUGAUUGAAAUAAAAUAAGCCUUCUUAUAACCCAUCUAUUAGCAAGUUCACAGCCUUGGAGUUUAGCUUCCCACGCUCAUUUUGUUCUUUCCUCUCUAUGUGCAGCGAAAUAUUAGGAGAAGAAAGGGCAAGUUUUAGUCACUUGAAAUACUUAGAAUGAGGACAAAUGAUCUGCAUGAAAGAUGUAGAGUUAUGUCUUGAGAGUAAAUUCCAAGUGGAAGUUCCUUGAAAGAAGCCUUAGUUUGUGAGAAAACCCUUCCCCAUUGCUGCGACCUAAUGUUGUUAAAAAGAGAGUACAAGGACUGUUUGUGUUAUCUAAUGGUUGGACUAUGACUCUAGCUCCUUGGAAGGUGUUUUAAGAGUGUAAUCAAACGAAGUAGGUGGACGAACAACUUGGAGACAACCAAGUGUACGGCGUAUUAAAUAACAAGUUAGCAGCAGGAAAGAGGUGAUAGGUAUCGCAGCAGUUGACGAUCGUUCUCGGGGCAAGAGGCCCGUGGUUGAUGAGUAGAUCUGAGCAUAGAUGUUGCCUGCUUAUUUUGGGAGUCUGUUGUAUAUAUUGUGACACUGUGAUGUAGUAUGUUUAUGUAGGUUGAUGUAGGAUGUUGUAGUUAUGACACAUAGCCACCUUUUAAUGUGAUAUAUAUAGAGUUAUGGAUCAUGCAUGUAUAUUACUGUAUAUGAUAUGGAAUUGUUGUAUAUUGUGGGUUGUAAGAGCCCCAAGGAAUUGUUGGUCCUUGUGUGUGCCACCCACUGAUUAUUAGGUACUAUUUGAGGUCAUAGACCACUUGUACAA